UUUGUUUGUUUGUUUGUUUGUUUGUUUUUGUUUUCCCCUCUCUUCUCUCAAGUUGGUGCUGACUACGCACCCACCCUUCUUAUCAUCAUCCUGGUAUGAGAUUGGGCUGGGCCCCUGUCCUCAAUGCCAGUGAAGGGGCAUUCAAUGUGCAUGCACUGUCUCCCCCCCAGGCAGGAGAAAAAGGAAAAACAAAAAAGAUCACACUCACAAACACAUUAGUCAAGUCACAGUAAAUUAGGGUUUCUGGAAACAGAUACAAAAAAUAAAUUAAUCAUUAUAUACAUAAACAUAUAUUAAUGAAGUAAUAAAGUAAUAAAUAUGUUUCUUUUUUCAGACAAAUGAUCCAGUGAACGAUGCACGUUGAAACAUUCAAACGGGAUAUUCUUAUGCAAAGGGAGAGACAGACAGAAAGUCAGACGGAGCUGGCAUUGCAGUGCCGGGGCAACAAUGAUUUAUCAUUCAUCCAUACGUAACGAAUGAAGACACCAACAACCAUCCAAAAUGGGGAUGGAUGGGAUAAUGCAGUUGGACGGGGAAUUCGGCGACAGGAGGGGAGGCACAUGGAGCGGAGACAGACACAGAAGGUCUGACGACGACGACGACGACGAUGGGAAAUCUGGCAGCAGCAACAACAACAACACACAGCCAAAGAGAUUUCGACGACGACGACGACGACGACGAGGAGGCCCAACCUCACACCUGACACACACACACACACACACACACACACAAUUGCAGCGUCAGGCGCGGCGAUGCGAUGCCAAGGCAAAGCGAUGCGAAGUGAAGUGAAGUAAAGUGAAGUGAAGCGAGGGGGAAGUGAAUUGAACGGCGCGACCAAGGGAGGGAGGGAGA
RNAcentral lists this long non-coding RNA (852 nucleotides) under Physcomitrium patens. Its description in RNAcentral is "long non-coding RNA (PPAT_LNC008536)". Lineage: Eukaryota; Viridiplantae; Streptophyta; Bryopsida; Funariales; Funariaceae. The record is from RNAcentral.